GACGUUUAGAAUUGUUGCUGAUGGCGCGCAUUGUACCCGUUGAGGAGACAUUAAUGGCAUUAAAUGUCAAACACUUUCUUGAAAUAGACCAUAAGAAGAACUAAACAGGAGAAAUUACAGCAUUUUCAAGAAGAAGAAAAUGUAUUUUGAAGUGCAAGAGGAAAUUGAACUGGAAUCAGUUGAGGAGGAGCAUCCAGUUGCAACCAAAUCUGAAAUACAUAAUUACGACGAAGAUGGACAAGAUGCCACCAACAUGCAAUGCAGCGAUUGUCAUCGGUUUUUCAAAACCAAACAAGAGUUGAUUGCCCAUCGAUUGAUAUCGCAUCAGUCCGAAAAGAAAUAUCAAUGUCAGUCGUGCAAUCGCGUAUUUUCGUCGCAGAGCAGUCUGCACACUCAUAUGAAAUUGCAUUCUGGAGAUAAGCGAUUUGCGUGUGAUGUUUGCCAGAAGGAGUUCACGCAGUUGACGAACCUACAACGCCAUUUGUUCACCCAUUCUGGUGAACGACCUUUCGCAUGUUCGAUUUGCGAUAAGCGCUUUACACAAAAAUCGAACGUCGACAAGCAUCAACUGACUCAUGCUAAAACGAAACCCUUCAAGUGUUCCACAUGUGACAAAGCGUUCACUCAAAAAGUGAAUUUGACCAAACACGAAAUGAUACACAGUGGUUUGCGUCCAUUCGUGUGUGAAAUUUGCUCCAAAGCGUACACCCAACUAGUCAAUUUGAACAAGCACAUGCAGACGCACACAAAGCCACGAGAUUCGGUGUACGUUUUUUAAUUUUAUUAUUCCUAUUUGUAUGUCAUUUACGCACAACAACCAGGCCUAUCGGAGGCUCAUACAUAUAAAUAAGUCUAGGGGCCUACCUAUGCGCAAAGUGUAAACAACUAUUCGAUUCGGUUCUGACCUAUACGUCCCAUUUGGAUUCCUGUCGCGGCACCAAUACAAAUAUGGAAUUUGAGUUGACUUUAGAUGAAAUCGAGGAUAAUGAUCCCAACUCGAAUAAAGUGAAUAUUUUGAAUAUUAUCAAGAGCACCGAUUCGAAAAUGAACGGUGCACUUAUGGAUCCUUAAGUUUUAUGUUUACACACGUAUAUGGCACAAUAUUAUUACUCGUUAUUUUGCGUAUUUCCAUAAGAAAAUAAACAAAAAUUGAAAAUUA
Molecule: RNA transcript, 1159 nt
Organism: Bradysia coprophila
Lineage: Eukaryota; Metazoa; Arthropoda; Insecta; Diptera; Sciaridae
Source: RefSeq, a predicted model, not a curated record